Molecule: ribosomal RNA, 1293 nt
Filed under: Parastagonospora avenae
Lineage: Eukaryota; Fungi; Ascomycota; Dothideomycetes; Pleosporales; Phaeosphaeriaceae
Description: eukaryotic LSU rRNA
Rfam family: Eukaryotic large subunit ribosomal RNA
Source: RNAcentral
UAGCAUAUCAAUAAGCGGAGGAAAAGAAACCAACAGGGAUUGCCCUAGUAACGGCGAGUGAAGCGGCAACAGCUCAAAUUUGAAAUCUGGCUCUUUUAGAGUCCGAGUUGUAAUUUGCAGAGGGCGCUUUGGCGUUGGGAGCGGUCCAAGUUCUUUGGAACAGGACGUCACAGAGGGUGAGAAUCCCGUACGUGGUCGCUAUCCUUCGCCGUGUAAAGCCCCUUCGACGAGUCGAGUUGUUUGGGAAUGCAGCUCUAAAUGGGAGGUAAAUUUCUUCUAAAGCUAAAUACUGGCCAGAGACCGAUAGCGCACAAGUAGAGUGAUCGAAAGAUGAAAAGCACUUUGGAAAGAGAGUCAAAUAGCACGUGAAAUUGUUGAAAGGGAAGCGCUUGCAGCCAGACUUGCCUGUAGUUGCUUAUCUGGACUUUUGUCCAGUGCACUCUUCUGCGGGCAGGCCAGCAUCAGUUUGGGCGGUUGGAUAAAGGUCUCUGUCAUGUACCUCCUUUCGGGGAGGCCUUAUAGGGGAGACGACAUGCAACCAGCCUGGACUGAGGUCCGCGCAUCUGCUAGGAUGCUGGCGUAAUGGCUGUAAGCGGCCCGUCUUGAAACACGGACCAAGGAGUCUAACAUCUAUGCGAGUGUUUGGGUGUCAAGCCCAGACGCGUAAUGAAAGUGAACGGAGGUGGGAACCUUUUAGGUGCACCAUCGACCGAUCCUGAUGUCUUCGGAAGGAUUUGAGUAAGAGCAUAGCUGUUGGGACCCGAAAGAUGGUGAACUAUGCUUGAAUAGGGUGAAGCCAGAGGAAACUCUGGUGGAGGCUCGCAGCGGUUCUGACGUGCAAAUCGAUCGUCAAAUUUGGGCAUAGGGGCGAAAGACUAAUCGAACUAUCUAGUAGCUGGUUCCUGCCGAAGUUUCCCUCAGGAUAGCAGUAACGUAUUCAGUUUUAUGAGGUAAAGCGAAUGAUUAGAGGCCUGGGGGUUGAAACAACCUUCACCUAUUCUCAAACUUUAAAUAUGUAAGAAGUCCUUGUUACUUGAUUGAACGUGGACACUUGAAUGUACCGUUACUAGUGGGCCAUUUUUGGUAAGCAGAACUGGCGAUGCGGGAUGAACCGAACGCGGGGUUAAGGUGCCAGAAUAUACGCUCAUCAGACACCACAAAAGGUGUUAGUUCAUCUAGACAGCAGGACGGUGGCCAUGGAAGUCGGAAUCCGCUAAGGAGUGUGUAACAACUCACCUGCCGAAUGAACUAGCCCUGAAAAUGGAUGGCGCUCAAGCGUAUUACCCAUACCCC